UCUAGGUCUUGAUCUUGAUCUUGUUCUUGGUCCUGCAUCACAAGCUGAGGACAUCACCCGUUAAGAAGUCAACUCAUGACAGGGUUUCCAUAUAGUCCAUGGAAGCUGUAUACAGUCAUCAUCCAGUGACCAACCUGCGGUGGGAACACAUAGUCGGCCACAUCCCAGACCGUUCCCGAAUGCUCCCCCUCUUUGGUGUAGCCUACUCCUUUCACUUUGGUGAAGACAGAGCUGACUCCAUAUUCUUUGGACUGGUAGCCUUUCUCAUACAUGAACACCCACCUGUACAGGUACAGGUGUACAAUCGGGCAGGCCAUUCCGAACAAGCUCAUAAUUUCUGGACAAAGCAAAGUUUUGUAUGAAAGUCUUACCCGAUGAUGUAAGCAAAGACUCCCACCUGGACGAGGCGACACACUAUACCUACUUUUUUAUUCCUGACCACCACUUGGCGUGGGGUCUCAUAC
Molecule: long non-coding RNA, 464 nt
Organism: Syngnathus acus (greater pipefish)
Lineage: Eukaryota; Metazoa; Chordata; Actinopteri; Syngnathiformes; Syngnathidae
Exons: 4
Source: RefSeq, a predicted model, not a curated record